Long non-coding RNA from Haliotis rubra (blacklip abalone), 248 nucleotides. RefSeq lists it as uncharacterized. The transcript is spliced from 2 exons. The record is from RefSeq and is a predicted model, not a curated record. NCBI's taxonomy places the organism in Eukaryota, Metazoa, Mollusca, Gastropoda, Lepetellida, Haliotidae.
CCAAUGAAUAAAAUCUAUCUUGGUUUCGUUUAUGUCAUACUGCGAUUAUUUCUCUUAUGUCGAGCUAACGUCUAUGAUUCAAAUCAUUUAGACCAGGAAACAGCUACAUUAACGCUAUGGAAGAAAUAACUCGGACACUGAUCAUUGUUGCGGCAAUUGUAGUGUCGCUAAUCAUCAUCAUCGGCUGCGUGUACUGUGUAUAUUGUAGAAAAUGGAACAUCGAAACACAAAGUGGCGAGACAAAUAGA